This is a long non-coding RNA of Equus caballus (horse), 1739 nucleotides long. The record is from Ensembl. NCBI's taxonomy places the organism in Eukaryota, Metazoa, Chordata, Mammalia, Perissodactyla, Equidae.
CACCAAGGAUAAUAGCCAGAUUUUUAGGUCAACUGAUUUGGGAUCUUAAUUGCAUUUGCCAAACCUCUUACAGCUGGACCUAAAUUAGCAUUUGAUUGAAAACUGAGAGCAGCUGAGCUGUGAGUCUCUUGAGGGCGGGAACCAAGGCUUGGCCGUCUUUGUAGCUGCAGCCCCUGGAACAGUAGCCAGCUCAAGACAUAUUUGCUGCCUGAGAGUGAGCGAUGCGCCCGAGCCAGCUGUGCCGAGAAGAGCAUUUUAACUACAGCGGCCUACACUGCAUGAAAAGGGCGGCUGACGGGGAGACAGCGGCGCCCGCGCUUCCGAGACGAGGGCAGGCAAGUCCGGCGUCCGACGCCCCAGAGAGAACCAGCCCCGCCGCGACGCUGAGGCGGACGUGCCGCUAGGUGUCACUCCCGAUUCAAUAAAGAGAGACGCGGGUCCUUAGAAAGCUGGUUACACCUUUCUUGUGAAGGGAGCUGCUUAGACGGCUCCCAACCAUCCUUUCCGUCUGGUUCCACCCUCCUGUUCUUCAGUUCCCUCCACUGACACAGUCUGGGUCUAUAAAAGGACAACAGAAACAGGAGCUACGAGAGUUGGGGGCCACCUGGCCAACUAAUUCAGCCUCCCGAUUUUGUAGACGCGCAACCGAGGUUGGGGAGGGGGGUCGGGAGGUGGGGACAGAGCCCGGCUUCGGCCCCCGCGUGGGUCCGCGCGCCCCUGCCACCUUCGGGGUCCCGACUCUCGGCCUAAAGGUGUCGGGACGGUCCCGGAGGUCUACACCGCGGUCAGCCCCCCAGGGCCAGUUCCAGGCGCUCAGGCCGCGCGCAGCGUCUCUUCCUGCGCGGAGAUCCAACCCAAGGGCAUCCUCGCCCUGCGCUCCAAAACCCGGGAAGGUACCAGAAGGAAGAAGGCGAACUCGGUUCCUGAUUUUCGUGGAGCUAAUGCUCUGGUAGGGAGCACACAUUGAAUAAAUAAUUGCGGGAAACAUUAAUUUGUUCUAAAUGAGAUAUAUGCUGCAAAGGACAACAGAGGCUGCUGGGAGAGGGUGUCAGCAGGGAACCAGCUGAAGUCGUCAACUGAAUCUUCGCCACAACUUUGCUGCAUGUCCACCCUGAUGCUAUCUUCUCUCCUCUUGCUGCUGCAAACCGAUACAAGUCAUAGCCCCAAGGAACAGAUGAGUCAGUGCUUGCAAGGCUGCACGUCCCCAGGUGAGUCGCUGGAAGGAUGCCCGGCACGCGUAUAGUGGGUGCUCUCCAAAUAUGUGACGAAUAUGAACAGAACAGGAAGGAAGGAGAACUGUCACCUGGACUCCAUCUGUUGGAGUUGAAGACACUGUUCGCUGUGCUGACUGCUGUCUGUUGAGGCCCUUCAGUGACUUGGGUAGAUCGAGUGUGGUGAUAAGAUCUCCAGCUCUACCCCCACCCCUCCGCCAACAGGCAGUAGCAUGCUGGAUAAAUAGCAGCUCACCUCUGACCACCCAGCUCGAGACAACAGACUGCCACCCUGCUGCGUUCACUGAGAAAGAAGCCCUACCUGCUGUUUCCAUCAAUCGCUGUGCUGACAGAGCAGUCUCGCGACUAUUGUGAAAGGGACAUUUCAAUCCUAUGUGAAACAUCCUCUCUGGGGGUAUAUAACCACUCUGUGCACCCCACUUCUUUGGUGCCCUUUCUUCCUUUGGGAAGAAGGGCCCCGGGCCAUGGUCCUCAGAUUUCAGCUCAGAAUAAACUCUCCCAAAUUUU